UAAGGGCGCACGGUGGAUGCCUUGGCACUAGAAGCCGAUGAAGGACGUUACUAACGACGAUAUGCUUUGGGGAGCUGUAAGUAAGCUUUGAUCCAGAGAUUUCCGAAUGGGGAAACCCAGCAUGAGUUAUGUCAUGUUAUCGAUAUGUGAAUACAUAGCAUAUCAGAAGGCACACCCGGAGAACUGAAACAUCUUAGUACCCGGAGGAAGAGAAAGAAAAUUCGAUUCCCUUAGUAGCGGCGAGCGAAACGGGAAGAGCCCAAACCAACAAGCUUGCUUGUUGGGGUUGUAGGACACUCUAUACGGAGUUACAAAGGACGACAUUAGACGAAUCAUCUGGAAAGAUGAAUCAAAGAAGGUAAUAAUCCUGUAGUCGAAAAUGUUGUCUCUCUUGAGUGGAUCCUGAGUACGACGGAGCACGUGAAAUUCCGUCGGAAUCUGGGAGGACCAUCUCCUAAGGCUAAAUACUCUCUAGUGACCGAUAGUGAACCAGUACCGUGAGGGAAAGGUGAAAAGCACCCCGGAAGGGGAGUGAAAUAGAACCUGAAACCGUGUGCUUACAAGUAGUCAGAGCCCGUUAAUGGGUGAUGGCGUGCCUUUUGUAGAAUGAACCGGCGAGUUACGAUUUGAUGCAAGGUUAAGCAGUAAAUGUGGAGCCGUAGCGAAAGCGAGUCUGAAUAGGGCGUUUAGUAUUUGGUCGUAGACCCGAAACCAGGUGAUCUACCCUUGGUCAGGUUGAAGUUCAGGUAACACUGAAUGGAGGACCGAACCGACUUACGUUGAAAAGUGAGCGGAUGAACUGAGGGUAGCGGAGAAAUUCCAAUCGAACCUGGAGAUAGCUGGUUCUCUCCGAAAUAGCUUUAGGGCUAGCCUCAAGUGAUGAUUAUUGGAGGUAGAGCACUGUUUGGACGAGGGGCCCCUCUCGGGUUACCGAAUUCAGACAAACUCCGAAUGCCAAUUAAUUUAACUUGGGAGUCAGAACAUGGGUGAUAAGGU
Molecule: ribosomal RNA, 996 nt
Filed under: Staphylococcus aureus
Lineage: Bacteria; Bacillati; Bacillota; Bacilli; Caryophanales; Staphylococcaceae
Description: partial 23S ribosomal RNA
Rfam family: Bacterial large subunit ribosomal RNA
Source: RNAcentral